AAGGAUCAUUAGUGAACUUGGCCUCACGGCCUAACCCACAAUCCACAAACACCUGUGAACCGUCGGCGCUCGCGCCGCUUUUACAAAACAUCUGUGUCAUGAACGUCCAUUGAUUGUAAACAAACAAAACUUUCAACAACGGAUCUCUUGGCUCUCGCAUCGAUGAAGAACGCAGCGAAAUGCGAUAAGUAAUGUGAAUUGCAGAAUUCAGUGAAUCAUCGAAUCUUUGAACGCAACUUGCGCCCUCUGGUAUUCCGGAGGGCAUGCCUGUUUGAGUGUCAUGAAACCUCAAUCCCCCAGGGUUCUGCUCUGUUGGGUGAUUGGAUUUGGGCGUUGCCGGCCUGGCCGGCUCGCCUUAAAGGCGUUAGUGGGAUCAGUAAACCCGAUCGGCGUAAUAAGUUUCGCUGAGGAGGUUUGCGCGAGCCCGCUCACAACCCUCUCCUUUGGAGAACACUCUUUUGAUCUGACCUCAAAUCAGGUAGGACUACCCGCUGAACUUAA
This 501-nucleotide ribosomal RNA is filed under the name Tremella sp. ATCC MYA-4668. Its description in RNAcentral is "eukaryotic LSU rRNA". The stretch from base 128 to 281 matches the Rfam family "5.8S ribosomal RNA". The record is from RNAcentral. Lineage: Eukaryota; Fungi; Basidiomycota; Tremellomycetes; Tremellales; Tremellaceae.